Non-coding RNA from Solanum lycopersicum (tomato), 1144 nucleotides. NCBI's taxonomy places the organism in Eukaryota, Viridiplantae, Streptophyta, Magnoliopsida, Solanales, Solanaceae. The record is from RefSeq and is a predicted model, not a curated record.
CAUGAAAAGUACAGUUCCAAUAAUUGAAAAGAUUGAACAAAACACAAACUGUAAUUUUGUGGUGGGACCAAAGAGAGAGUUUGAUCAAUCACUACUUUGUUUUGUUGUUUUUUAUAAAUAGAAGAAAAUAAGGGUCUUUUGGAGGUUCAUAGGACAUGGUCAAUCUUGACAUUUGUUGUCCUAUGAUAUGAAUCUUCACCUCAAUCAAUCAUCAAUAACAAUCUUCAACUUGUUCAAAUUCUACUUCUUUUACCCCACCUUCAAGAAAGUAAGUACCCUUUAUUUCUUUAUUCUUUAUCUUUGCAAAAAUCUUGGCCUUUUGCUUUUCUCUUUCUCUUUUUUGGUUAUAGGAAACAAAAGUUCGCUUCUUUUUUAUGGGGUCUUGAUAAAAAAUCCAGUGCAUUGAGUUCUUCCAAAAGUUUGGCUUGAAGAGAAAUUCCUCACAUCUACACUAGGUUCCUAUUCAUAAUGGGACUCUCACCAUAUACGACUCCAGCAGAUGCAGGAGUGUUCUGUGUGAUUCUGGUUAAUACAGCCAUAUCCAUCUCUAUUGUCAAGGGAAUGGUUCGAUCUAUCCUUCAUGUGAUUGGCAUCAACUUUGCAUCAUGGGAAGAAUAUUCUAUUGAAGGCCCUUUUGACCCAUUUGAGUGUCGUGGGAGCCCCUCGGGAUCAUACAUGGAGGAGUUCCGAAGCAGAACCCCUGCUGUUCGUUACGAUUCAUUGUGUUCUAAUCACCCUACACAAGAAUGCGUGGUAUGUCUGGCAGAGUUCAAACAUGACGAGGAGAUAAACUGCCUCUCAUGUGGCCACGUUUUUCAUAAGCUGUGUCUCGAGAAAUGGCUAAAGAAUUGGAAUGUCACCUGCCCUCUCUGCAGGAAUUACAUUAUGCCUAAAGAAGGUGAGGAAGAUACUUGUCCAAUGUGAAUUUUGUAGUUUGUCAGGCCUGUUUGAUAUGUUCUGAUGUACAGCUUAGUUGGGUAAAAAUUUAUUGAUGACUGCCUGAUCUUUGACACUGCAUAAUUCUGUAACCUUUUAUACUGUAAUACUUUGCGUCCUAUCACAGUGACGGGUCUCUUUGUUGCGACCAACAAUUCAUAUAUUGUUGUACAUAUGUUACAAAAUUGCCAGUUCCUGAUGUUUCUCA